This 520-nucleotide ribosomal RNA is filed under the name uncultured Glomus. Its description in RNAcentral is "SSU rRNA". It matches the Rfam family "Eukaryotic small subunit ribosomal RNA", at positions 569 to 1089 of the family's 1831-position model. The record is from RNAcentral. Lineage: Eukaryota; Fungi; Glomeromycota; Glomeromycetes; Glomerales; Glomeraceae.
CGCAGCCGCGGUAAUUCCAGCUCCAAUAGCGUAUAUUAAAGUUGUUGCAGUUAAAAAGCUCGUAGUUGAAUUUCGGGGUUAGUAGAUUGGUCGUGCCAUCGGUAUGCACUGGUCUUACUGAUUCCUCCUUCCUGAUGAACCGUAAUGCCAUUAAUUUGGUGUUGCGGGGAAACUGGACUGUUACCUUGAAAAAAAUUAGAGUGUUUAAAGCAAGCUAACGCUUGAAUACAUUAGCAUGGAAUAAUGAAAUAGGACGUCCGAUCCUAUUUUGUUGGUUUCUAGGAUUGACGUAAUGAUUAAUAGGGAUAGUUGGGGGCAUUAGUAUUCAAUUGUCAGAGGUGAAAUUCUUGGAUUUAUUGAAGACUAACUACUGCGAAAGCAUUUGCCAAGGAUGUUUUCAUUAAUCAAGAACGAAAGUUAGGGGAUCAAAGACGAUCAGAUACCGUCGUAGUCUUAACCAUAAACUAUGCCGACUAGGGAUCGGAUGAUGUUAAUUUUAUAAUGACUCAUUCGGCGCCUU